GUGACUAACACUAACACUUUGCCAUGGAAAGUAACAUAUUGCCAAGUUUAAGUAACAAGGAUGUGGACACUUGGAGGGAAUUAAUCAUCUACUUGGACUUCCCAGGUGGCUCAGGGGUAAAGAAUCCACCUGCACUGCAGGAGACUCAGGUUCCAUCUCUGGGUUGAAAAGAAGCCCCGGAGAAAGAAAUGGCAACCCACUCCUGUACUCUUACCUGGGAAAUCCCACAGACAGAGGACCCUACAGUCCUACAGGGACCUCAUGAAGCUGUGGAUGGGACUCUGUCCGUGACGACAUUGGCAUCCCACCUCAGGAGACCUGGAAUCAAUCCCUGGAAUGGGAAGAUCCCCUGGAGAAGGAAUGACAACCCACUCCAAUAUCCUUGCCUGGAGAAUUCCAUGGGCAGAGGAGCCUGGUGGGCUACAGUUCAUGAGAUGGCAAAAAGUCAGACAUGACUGAAUGACUAACAUUCCCCUCCACCCCACCCCACCCCUACAAUCCCCCUACCCCAGCUCAAUGGCUCCCCAAAGCAUCUGAUGCUUCUGAAACUGAUGGCUGAUCUCAACAGCCUGCCCACCUGCCACGUUUGUUCUUCUCCUGGACCAUUCUCUUCCUUGGGCCUGUGACUGACCCCAUCCUGGUCCUGGGUCCCUCCUCUCACUUCAACCCAUUGUUCCUGGGACAGGGUGGGGAGGGGAGAGCUCACCCUCUCCCAUGCUGCCUGAGUGCCAGAAUUACAGAAC
Bos taurus (domestic cattle) is the source of this 743-nucleotide long non-coding RNA. Lineage: Eukaryota; Metazoa; Chordata; Mammalia; Artiodactyla; Bovidae. The record is from Ensembl.